Hipposideros armiger (great roundleaf bat) is the source of this 559-nucleotide long non-coding RNA. RefSeq lists it as uncharacterized. The record is from RefSeq and is a predicted model, not a curated record. NCBI's taxonomy places the organism in Eukaryota, Metazoa, Chordata, Mammalia, Chiroptera, Hipposideridae. The transcript has 3 exons.
UGCACCGUGCCAGCUGCCUUAGGCUCAAACCUGCCGCUGGGGAGAGAAGCAGCUUCCACUGGGAUGCAGCCACCGGGAUCAGGAGACAAGCUGACAUUUGGACGGGCAAAGCCACCACCUGCGGGGCCAGAGUCUAGCAGAAAACCAAGGAUUGUUCAAGGCCUUGGGUCGGGCUUGCCCAAUCAUGCGACUUGGCACCCCAGCACCCCCUCCGCUCCUUCCGCCCCCUCCCAUUUCAACAGCCCGGGCUGCAGUGAGACGGGCAGCCUGAUAAAAAGGAGGGCAGGGCCUGGAGAGCCGGUCACACAGCUGGGGACUGUCACCAAGCCAACACCAUGGCGUCGUGCGUGGCCUGGACAGGUGAGGGGACACUGUCAGGGGGGCUGGGCUGUGCCCCAGAAGCUGUGGGGUGGUGGCGGGGUUACGUUAGGUGGCUCCUUGGUGCUGUCUGCGAGGAAGCAGGAACGCUAGGAGACCGGGGGAGCAUCCUCCCGCCUCACCCUCUGCCUCCUGGCCGGCAGUCCCUCGACGGCUGUCCCUGUGGGUUCACUGUGGGCUC